Oncorhynchus keta (chum salmon) is the source of this 1507-nucleotide long non-coding RNA. RefSeq lists it as uncharacterized. The record is from RefSeq and is a predicted model, not a curated record. NCBI's taxonomy places the organism in Eukaryota, Metazoa, Chordata, Actinopteri, Salmoniformes, Salmonidae. The transcript has 3 exons.
UUGGUGUGUGUGUGGUUAUUGAAGAGGUUGGUGUGUGUGUGGUUAUUGAAGAGGUUGGUGUGUGUGUGGUUAUUGAAGAGGUUGGUGUGUGUGGUUAUUGAAGAGAUUGGUGUGUGUGUGUGGUUAUUGAAGAGGUUGGUGUGUGUGUGGUUAUUGAAGAGGUUGGUGUGUGUGUGGUUAUUGAAGAGGUUGGUGUGUGUGUGGUUAUUGAAGAGGUUGGUGUGUGUGUGGUUAUUGAAGAGAUUGGUGUGUGUGUGGUUAUUGAAGAGAUUGGUGUGUGUGUGUGGUUAUUGAAGAGGUUGGUGUGUGUGUGGUUAUUGAAGAGGUUGGUGUGUGUGUGGUUAUUGAAGAGGUUGGUGUGUGUGUGUGGUUAUUGAAGAGGUUGGUGUGUGUGUGGUUAUUGAAGAGGUUGGUGUGUGUGUGGUUAUUGAAGAGGUUGGUGUGUGUGGUUAUUGAAGAGGUUGGUGUGUGUGGUUAUUGAAGAGGUUGGUGUGUGUGUGUGGUUAUUGAAGAGGUUGGUGUGUGUGUGGUUAUUGAAGAGGUUGGUGUGUGUGUGGUUAUUGAAGAGGUUGGUGUGUGUGUGGUUAUUGAAGAGGUUGGUGUGUGUGGUUAUUGAAGAGGUUGGUGUGUGUGGUUAUUGAAGAGGUUGGUGUGUGUGUGGUUAUUGAAGAGGUUGGUGUGUGUGUGGUUAUUGAAGAGAUUGGUGUGUGUGUGUGGUUAUUGAAGAGGUUGGUGUGUGUGUGGUUAUUGAAGAGGUUGGUGUGUGUGUGGUUAUUGAAGAGGUUGGUUUGUGUGUGGUUAUUGAAGAGGUUGGUGUGUGUGUGGUUAUUGAAGAGAUUGGUGUGUGUGUGGUUAUUGAAGAGGUUGGUGUGUGUGUGGUUAUUGAAGAGGUUGGUGUGUGUGUGGUUAUUGAAGAGGUUGGUGUGUGUGUGGUUAUUGAAGAGGUUGGUGUGUGUGUGGUUAUUGAAGAGGUUGGUGUGUGUGGUUAUUGAAGAGGUUGGUGUGUGUGGUUAUUGAAGAGGUUGGUGUGUGUGUGGUUAUUGAAGAGGUUGGUGUGUGUGUGGUUAUUGAAGAGGUUGGUGUGUGUGGUUAUUGAAGAGGUUGGGGUGUGUGUGGUUAUUGAAGAGGUUGGCGUGUGUGUGGUUAUUGAAGAGGUUGGCGUGUGUGUGGUUAUUGAAGAGGUUGGCGUGUGUGUGGUUAUUGAAGAGGUUGGCGUGUGUGUGGUUAUUGAAGAGGUUGGUGUGUGUGGUUAUUGAAGAGGUUGGUGUGUGUGUGGUUAUUGAAGAGGUUGGUGUGUGUGUGGUUAUUGAAGAGAUUGGUGUGUGUGUGGUUAUUGAAGAGGUUGGUGUGUGUGUGGUUAUUGAGUGGUCUAGUUCCUUAUUACCCUUCCAUCCCCAUCCUGUCUUUACCCUUCCAUCCCCAUCCUGUCUUUACCCUUCCAUCCCCAUCCUGAUUUUACCCUUCCAUCCCCAUCCUGAUUUUACCCUUCCAUCCUGACUUUACCCUU